UCAAAUAGGGGUAAUGGGGUUGGGUUUUCCUAGGUCAAAAAUAGGAUGUGAUAGGUGAAAUUUUUAGGAUUUGAUGGGUGAAAAUUUUUUAGAAGAGUGGACGGUUGGGGGGGGAAGUGGUGAAUUUAAAAUAGGGUAGUAGAGUUGUAGUUUCCUAGAUGAAAAGAUAUGAUUUGAUGGGUGUUGUUUUUUUUUUUUAAUUUUGAAAAGGAAUGUACGGUUGGUAGUGUUAAAUUGGGUUUUAUUUUUGGUUUUUCUUGUUUUUUUUAGAAAGGGUGGUUGGGGCAUUUUUGGGCUUAAUUUUGGGUUUGAAUUUGGUAGGCAUGAUGGGUUUGGGUUUUGGUUAAUGGGUUAGCUUGGGUUUUGGAUUGGUUAGAUGGUGGGUAGGUAGAGUGAGCCUUGGCUGAAAUAAAAAGAAUUUUAUGGGUUGUCAUGUGGAAUUUAAUUUUGUCUAGGAAUGUUUC
RNAcentral lists this long non-coding RNA (464 nucleotides) under Gossypium raimondii (Peruvian cotton). Its description in RNAcentral is "long non-coding RNA (GRAI_LNC003097)". The record is from RNAcentral. Lineage: Eukaryota; Viridiplantae; Streptophyta; Magnoliopsida; Malvales; Malvaceae.